Molecule: ribosomal RNA, 500 nt
Filed under: uncultured bacterium
Lineage: Bacteria
Description: partial 16S ribosomal RNA
Rfam family: Bacterial small subunit ribosomal RNA
Source: RNAcentral
ACUCAAAGGAAUAGACGGGGGCCCGCACAAGCGGCGGAGCAUGCGGAUUAAUUCGAUGCAACGCGAAGAACCUUACCAAGGCUUGACAUGAACCGGAAAGACCUGGAAACAGGUGCCCUCCUUUGGAGCCGGUUUACAGGUGGUGCAUGGUUGUCGUCAGCUCGUGUCGUGAGAUGUUGGGUUAAGUCCCGCAACGAGCGCAACCCUCGUUCUAUGUUGCCAGCGGGUAGUGCCGGGGACUCAUAGGAGACUGCCGGGGUCAACUCGGAGGAAGGUGGGGACGACGUCAAAUCAUCAUGCCCCUUAUGUCUUGGGCUUCACGCAUGCUACAAUGGCCGGUACAAAGGGUUGCGAUACUGUGAGGUGGAGCUAAUCCCGGAAAGCCGGUCUCAGUUCGGAUUGAGGUCUGCAACUCGACCUCAUGAAGUCGGAGUCGCUAGUAAUCGCAGAUCAGCAACGCUGCGGUGAAUACGUUCCCGGGCCUUGUACACACCGCCCGU